This 493-nucleotide ribosomal RNA is filed under the name uncultured bacterium. RNAcentral's name for it is "bacterial SSU rRNA". It matches the Rfam family "Bacterial small subunit ribosomal RNA", at positions 23 to 518 of the family's 1533-position model. The record is from RNAcentral.
CUCAGGAUGAACGCUGGCGGCGUGCCUAACACAUGCAAGUCGAACGAAGCACUUAAACAGAUCCUUCGGGUGAUGAUUUGUGACUGAGUGGCGGACGGGUGAGUAACGCGUGGGUAACCUGCCCUGUACAGGGGGAUAACAGUUAGAAAUGACUGCUAAUACCGCAUAAGCGCACGAUGGUAGCAUUACCAGGUGUGAAAAACUCCGGUGGUACAGGAUGGGCCCGCGUCUGAUUAGCUAGUUGGCGGGGUAAGAGCCCACCAAGGCGACGAUCAGUAGCCGGUCUGAGAGGAUGAACGGCCACAUUGGAACUGAGACACGGUCCAAACUCCUACGGGAGGCAGCAGUGGGAAUAUUGCACAAUGGGGGGAACCCUGAUGCAGCCAACGCCGCGUGAGUGAAGAAGUAUUUCGGUAUGUAAAGCUCUAUCAGCAGGGAAGAUAAUGACGGUACCUGACUAAGAAGCUCCGGCUAAAUACGUGCCAGCAGCGGC